GGAGUUGUGGCUCAGUGGUAGAGUGCUCACCUAGCAUGUGUGAGGCACCAGGUUUGAUCCUCAGCACCA
Molecule: transfer RNA, 69 nt
Filed under: Ictidomys tridecemlineatus (thirteen-lined ground squirrel)
Lineage: Eukaryota; Metazoa; Chordata; Mammalia; Rodentia; Sciuridae
Description: Spermophilus tridecemlineatus (thirteen-lined ground squirrel) tRNA
Rfam family: tRNA
About the family: Transfer RNA (tRNA) molecules are approximately 80 nucleotides in length.
Source: Rfam by way of RNAcentral